GCCCGCUUGGGUGCCUGCUGUUUCCUCCUUGGCAUCGCUCUACUUCGCUCCAGUCCCACUUCUGGCGCCCCAGCCCCGAGCCGCGCGCGGGGGCCCGCGGUCUUUCUCGCCUCUCUGGGUCUCCUCCGCCUCCUGCCCGGUGGCUCCUAGGGCGUCACUCGGCCUCUGUCCCCCUGACGAUCCCCCCUGCAACUCCUCCACCACGGGCCAGAGACCCCCCUCUCUGGGUGGCAGACACGGACGGCUGUGCCGGCUGGUUGGAAGUAGAGGAUAUCUCUCCUCCAGUAACUGUUCUGUGAAAACUUUAAGGUAGCAAUCUCUGGUUAUUUCCUACCCUCCCAUGACACCUGGUACAGCAUCACGCUGAAGGGGAGAACUGGACAAGAGGACAUGCCAGAUGGAUGGUGGAGAGUGACAGCAAGAGUAAAGCAGGGUGUUGUGACAGAGAGUGCAGGGGGCAGGGUCCACACAGGGUGGGGGUCAUGGAAAGCCUUUCUGAGAAGAUAACAUUUAAACUGAGAUCUGGAAGACACAAAGCAGCCAACCAGGAGCCAAAGCCUGAAAUUGGAAGAGAUUUCUCUGCUUCUAAAACACAAAAAUGCAGCUGCCAGGUCCCAGGUUGAGAGAGCCAGCCAGCCAGCCCGGGGAAAGGGGAGCAGAAAGGAGGCAAGAGAGGUGACUACUUGCAGUUGGUGACAGUGUUUUGCUGCUGCUGAAGAAUCCCGACCACGUCGCUGGCCCAGUAAUCCAUUGCUCAACUUCAUUAACCACAGGAAGACAUUAAGUGAAUGUAAGGACCGGAACAGCCUGGAAACCAUGUGACAAGCAGCCUUUAAGUUCUGGGCUCCGGUAUAUUUUAUGCCACCUCAACUGUGCAUCAAGCUCUCCUCCCUGGACUCAUUAGAACUGUGUGCCCAAAGGUACCCCUCAACUUUCAGAAGCAAAUAGAGUAUGAUAUAAUUUGCUCUGAGAACACCUUUCUGUCUUAUCAGGGAGCAUGUCUUAUCUAUUAUGAUUAGGCAUUAAGCGUCCUAUUGUCCUGAAAAUUUCAUGAGAUUCUACCCCUGCUUGCUAGGAUUAUGCCAAAGUGACUUGUCCUGGAUGCUGUGUUCGCCCAUCAAUACAGCUUGUCUUUUCUGCUUAACUAUUGCUGGGAAGGCCAACACAGCUAAGGAACCCACAGACGUAAAGUGGUUGAAUAGUUCGGGACUGUUGCAAAUCCUCUUGUGUGUCUUGAAGGUUUGCGUGUCUUGCUUUUGGUUCCCCAAGAAGCACACACCCCAAGAUAAAGAUUUGAGAGCAAGUAGUUUAUUUGGGAGAUUAUCCUGGAAAACUCCAGUAGGGAAGUGGGGGAGUGAAUAAAGAAAAGGUUGCAGGCUAUAGGGGUGUGUUACCAAGCAGGUUAUCACAGCCGGCAAUUGCAACUUAAUCCUGCUGGGGGAAAGCUGGGAGUCAGUGUAGAUCAUGCACUUCUGAGACAUCCCUUCUGAAGUAUGAGAGAGCUGGGGUAUCCAUCUACAUUCCAUCCUGAGAGCUGGGAUGAGGGCCUCUCCUGGCCUUCCCUGCAGGCAAAGAGCCACGGGUGCUGGCAGUUAAAGCGGAGUGCGGAGAAGUGGGCCGAGUACCAGGCGAUGUCUGUUGCAUUGGAAUCCCCCAAACUGGGAGCUUCACAUGGUCAAGGACCAAGACUGUCUCUUAUUCAUUGCAACGUCUCCACUUAGCCUAGUGCCAGGUACACAGCAGAACUUCAAUAAACAGCAGACCUUCAAUAACGAUCUAGCGAAGGCCCAGUGUAUUUGAAAGCUUCACACGAUGCCUCUUUUAGUUGCUCCCUCUGUUUUAGAGCUAUUGUUUAUAAUGUAUUU
Molecule: long non-coding RNA, 1865 nt
Organism: Balaenoptera ricei (Rice's whale)
Lineage: Eukaryota; Metazoa; Chordata; Mammalia; Artiodactyla; Balaenopteridae
Exons: 3
Source: RefSeq, a predicted model, not a curated record